UGUUUAGCUUAAUUUUUAAUCUUUUUCAAGCUUUUUUAAAUUUUAUUCUUCUGAGAGCUUACAAAAUAAGCGCUGCUUUCUUUAUUUUAUUCGUCGUAAUGCUUUUCGGGAAUUUAAUAUUAUCUUUGAUUUAUUUUCGUUACUGCUGGGACUUGUCAACUUUUUUCUAUAGAACCAUUUAGUUCAGACAAGCCGUAAAAAGAAUAUUUCCAGGAGCCAGCAAGAUUUAAAAAACGAGCUUUGAUGGCCUACGAAGGCAAUAAGUCUAAAUGGGAAAUCGAAAGACAAAUGGUGGUGAAGGAAGUCGUGUCGCAACAGGUGGAUUUGGUUCUCGUCAUUAUCCAAUUGGAGCAGGAUGAAUGAUAAAGUUGGAUACGGUUUUCUUCGCGGGACGAAAACAGCACCUUUGGAUGGGUCAAAGCUGGUGGUCUGAAUGUGAUAGGGACUCGCCGUUUUCUCUGGUUGACCGUAAGACGGAGCUGCAAUGCCACAACAUGGUGAGAACUCGGGUGAAAACACCAGGAGUGGAAGUCUUCUUGCCUGGAUUCUCGCCGAAUCCCAAGAGUAUGGAUGAUAUUGGUGACCGUCUUCGCGCUGCGAAUAUUUUACUUGGCAUGAUCUCGGGCAUAAGUAUUUAUAUCUCGUCUAUAUGGGACAAUAA
Armigeres subalbatus is the source of this 661-nucleotide long non-coding RNA. RefSeq lists it as uncharacterized. The record is from RefSeq and is a predicted model, not a curated record. Lineage: Eukaryota; Metazoa; Arthropoda; Insecta; Diptera; Culicidae. The transcript is spliced from 3 exons.